GCGAGUUGAAUAUUACACGUCUAUGAAUUUCAACAGACGUGUAAAAUUUGAAAGACAUGUAAAUAUUUAAGACGUGUAAUAUUUAAUUCGCACUGAAAAUCCCGUCAUAUGUGAUGCUUCUUUUUAUUUACAUCAUAUGUGAUGGAAAUUUACAUAAAAUAAUCGCGUUCCGUGUCAAGUAAUAUUCAUGUCGUUAAAAUUCAGUGCUAUUAUGGAUUCAACUUUUUUCAAUCCAUAAAUUUACAUCAAUAAAUCGCGUUCAACGUCAUGUAAUAUUAAAGGUUUUUCAAUUUCAGUGUUGUUAAGGAUUCAGAUUUUUUUUCUGUGUAAAAGAUAGAUGAUAGUCCAGGAAAAUAAUAUCGGAGAUUUAUAAAUAGGAGUGUAAUUUAUUUCAUCCGAAACAGAUUGAGGAAACUUGCUCUAAGAAGUUGUUAAGCGUUCGAAAUUUUAGAAGAAUAGCAUUGUCAUUAGCAGUAUGGUCCGAUUAUUAAUUCAAUCAUGCUAUUUAUUUUAGUUUGUAUAACGUUAAAUUAAUACAAAAGUUGGUGGUAGACAAUUAAAAAUUCUGUUUUAUGGUAUCCAAGUUGUUAAUAUAAUUACAGAGCAGCCGCGUAUUUAUUUUGAAUUCCUAAGGAAUCACACAUUGGAAAACAUCUUUAAUUACCAAAUCCAUUUGAAUCUAGUUCUUUCUUGUUUUAUUUCUUUUUUUUGUAGUUCCAUCUUUAGCUCGAUUAGGUUUGAAAUUCAAAUAAGGAUGUAGAAGAUCGAAGGUAUGAUUUUGAUAAACAAGAACCUUCUCGUCCAGGAAAAUAAUAUCGGGGUUUUAAAAAUUGACAUUUAUUUUAACCAAACCAAAGAUCAAGGAAGGUUGUUUUGAAAAGUUGUUCAAAAUUAGCAAUGAGGUUUUAGAAGAACAGAAUCGCCAUUUGCAUUAUGGUUUAUAUCCUGUUGUUUUGAUAAGUCAAUGAUAGUACAAAAGAUAUUGAUCAUGCAAUUCAUAAUUGUUUCAUGCAAUUCUAUUUUAUUGAUUCAUAUUGAUUCAUGCAAUUCUAUUUUAUUUUUUAAUUUUCCAAAAAAUUUGGUACAAUUAAUAUUUGUGUUAAGCGAAAUUUUAUAAUUUCAGCAUUGAGAGAUAGCUUCUUAUCUAGAUGUUUUGUUCUGAAUACGGGAAAUUUGUUUUAUUAGUCAAUCUAUAUUAAUCUCGAGUAAAAACGAUCAUAAAUUCAAAGUUUUUGAAUCGAGUAAGGUUAGGUGACAGGUAGGGAUAACUCAAUUACGGUAAGAUAGUGAACCCUUCUGACAAUGAUAUCGAGACGUUAGCAUAUGAUAACUUUUGCUACCAUACUGUUACUGCUCGGUUGAAUUGGAGGUUGGGUUAACUCGAAGCUCAUGUAGGGCCCAAUUGUCCCAGUCCGUCGAGCACUAUCUUAACGCUUCCCUAAACUGGUGCUUCAGAACCCUCGGGCUCUGUUGCCGCUAUCCUACUCUAAGCUAUUCUACUCUCAUGUAAAUUUUCCUCUUCUGUCCCCCGAUCUGUUUUUCCUUUCCGGGUCAGCCAGGUAGCUCAUAAACCCAUACAAAAAAAAAAAAAAAAAAAAUAAUCAUGUGUAUUUUAAGAGUGAAUUUGGGUUCAGUGUAGAGCAGCAAAUAUCUUAUCACCUUCGAUAGCGUCGUUACUGUGUGAGUAGAAUAGCAAACUCUUCCUGAUUUUUUGGUUUGAUAACAACAUUAUGACAAAAAUACUAUUCACCUAUUUUUAAACAAAAGAAAACCAACAGACAUAUAUUUGAUGUUACUGGUCCAACCCUGGUUUCAAUAACAUACAACAAUAACAAACUUUUUUGUUUACGAGUCAGUGGCCUCCUACACUCCAGACUCCAGAGGCAGUGCGUAGUGAAAAAUCGGAAAUAUCCCGAUAGUUCCCUGUUAUUGUUGGUGAAUUACUGCGUCAGUCUGUGCCGAUGAAAUCUAAUAAAGCUUCAAUCAGAUUAUCGAAAACUUUUAUUCUGUUUGCACCCAACGGAAGUGGUUUGGAACCAUAGACACAGCGUGAUUCUCGACUUCAUAUAGUGGCGAUUACCCAAAGGUUUUGCUCAAAGCCAACGAAGACGUGUUAGAAAAGCAUCUCACCGAAGACUUUCUGGCCACUUACUUCCCGACGAUCGGACGGAAAUAUCGACUUGAAGGUGAACGAAUCGGGAGCCCCGUUUAUUGAAUAAUGUUCUCACUCAGUCUCAAUCCUUUUCUACGGAAAAGAAGCACAAGAUUCAGACACAGUGUCGUAAGAGAGCAUAGGAAGCGGUGCAAAAGAAAAGUAGCGGUGAAGUACAACGAAAGUGAAGUUGAGUGAAAAGUACAACGAAAACAUUGAAGGCGAUCAUUUGCGAAAAAAACGUUAACACUCAGAAGAUGAUUAUUCUACCGGGAGUGAAGCUAGGGAAAUUUAAGAUUUUCAACAAUGUUCAGAAGAGUUGGCAAAAUCAACCGUACAAGUGAUUCAACAGGAAACAGAAUAGGUUGAGAAAUGUCACAAGAAGUAUCAAUUUUCUGUGGGUAAUUCCUGAAUCAUGGUCGAAUGUCUCAAGUCUCCCAAACAAUAUAGUGUCAGGGAAAA
Uranotaenia lowii is the source of this 2614-nucleotide long non-coding RNA. RefSeq lists it as uncharacterized. The transcript has 3 exons. Lineage: Eukaryota; Metazoa; Arthropoda; Insecta; Diptera; Culicidae. The record is from RefSeq and is a predicted model, not a curated record.